CACGGCUGACACUGCGUUGCCGGAGGCCCUGGCGAAAACCAAAACGAGAAGUGAUUUGAUUGGUCGCAUGAAAACAAUGGAAUGCGGAAAUUGAACACGAACUUUUACUAAUAAAUAUGGCUGACUAUAGGAGUAGAUAGGAGUGUAUUAACUCUUCAAAGAAGACGAAGAGUCGUUUUGGUCGUUGAAAUCUGCUGUCUAUCAAUGGAAAUUUUAUUUUUAAUAUAAAAAAUGUUGGAUGUUGUGUCACAAUGUAUUAAAAAGCUGCACAAAAUUGGACAUUGGAUUAUUUAAAGAUUGAAAUCGCUGAAGCUGAAGGGACUUAGGGACAUUUUAUAUUAGUUUUAUAUACGAGAUUUAAUUAUAUACAGAGUACAAACAAAGACAGGCGAAAGGCUAUGCGAGAAAGACUGUACCGUUAAUUGUACAAAUCUACAAAAAUUGUGAGUGAUGUCUUGCAUCUUUCAAUUACAAAUGAGAAAAUCCUGAUCGUGAAUGAGUAUCUGUGUGGUUGUUCAUUGCAAGAGGGGUAUAUUAUAUUAAAUAUAGUAUAUUAUAAAAUAUGAGUUAUUUUAUAAUAUACUCUAUUUAAUAGACAUACUUUAUUGAUUUUAUAUCAAUUUCAUCAAAGGCUC
Non-coding RNA from Paramuricea clavata, 635 nucleotides. The record is from the annotation of a GenBank genome assembly. Lineage: Eukaryota; Metazoa; Cnidaria; Anthozoa; Malacalcyonacea; Plexauridae.